This 351-nucleotide ribosomal RNA is filed under the name uncultured bacterium. RNAcentral's name for it is "bacterial SSU rRNA". It matches the Rfam family "Bacterial small subunit ribosomal RNA", at positions 8 to 349 of the family's 1533-position model. The record is from RNAcentral.
AGAGUUUGAUCCUGGCUCAGGAUGAACGCUAGCUACAGGCUUAACACAUGCAAGUCGAGGGGAAACGACAUCGAAAGCUUGCUUUUGAUGGGCGUCGACCGGCGCACGGGUGAGUAACGCGUAUCCAACCUGCCCACCACUUGGGGAUAACCUUGCGAAAGUAAGACUAAUACCCAAUGAUAUCUCUAGAAGACCAUCUGAAAGAGAUUAAAGAUUUAUCGGUGAUGGAUGGGGAUGCGUCUGAUUAGCUUGUUGGCGGGGUAACGCCACAAGGCGACGAUCAGUAGGGGUUCUGAGAGGAAGGUCCCCCANAUUGGAACUGAAGACACGGUCCAAACUCCUACGGGAGCA